AAUCAACGCUGGCGGCGUGCCUAACACAUGCAAGUCGAACGAGAAAGUGGAGCAAUCCAUGAGUAAAGUGGCGACCGGGUGAGUAACACGUGACUAACCUACCCUGAAGUGGGGAAUAACCUCGGGAAACCGGGGCUAAUACCGCAUAAUAUCGCGAGCUGUAAACGCUUGUGAUCAAAGGAGCAAUUCGCUUUAGGAGGGGGUCGCGGCUGAUUAGCUAGUUGGUGAGGUAACGGCUCACAAAGGACAAAGAAUCAGUAUCCGGCCUGAGAGGGCGGCACGGACACACUGGAACUGAAACACGGUCCAGACUCCUACGGGAGGCAGCAGUGGGGAAGUUUUGUCGCAAUGGGGGAAACCCGUACGACGCAGCAACGCCGCGUGGAGGAUGAAGUCCCUUGGGAUGUAAACUCCUUUCGUANCGGGACGAUUAUGACGGUACCGGAAGAAGAAGC
RNAcentral lists this ribosomal RNA (455 nucleotides) under uncultured bacterium. Its description in RNAcentral is "bacterial SSU rRNA". It matches the Rfam family "Bacterial small subunit ribosomal RNA", at positions 32 to 491 of the family's 1533-position model. The record is from RNAcentral.